RNAcentral lists this ribosomal RNA (485 nucleotides) under uncultured bacterium. RNAcentral describes it as "partial 16S ribosomal RNA". It matches the Rfam family "Bacterial small subunit ribosomal RNA", at positions 28 to 507 of the family's 1533-position model. The record is from RNAcentral.
GAUGAACGCUAGCGAUAGGCUUAACACAUGCAAGUCGAGGGGCAGCGAGGGUAGCAAUACCUGUCGGCGACCGGCGCACGGGUGAGUCACGCGUAUGUAACCUGCCCGCAACAGGGGGAUAACCCGGCGAAAGUCGAACUAAUACCGCAUAAAACAGGGGUACCGCAUGGGAAUAUUUGUUAAAGAUUUAUCGGUUGCGGAUGGGCAUGCGUACCAUUAGGUAGUUGGUGAGGUAACGGCUCACCAAGCCUUCGAUGGCUAGGGGUUGUGAGAGGAAGGUCCCCCACACUGGUACUGAGACACGGACCAGACUGCGACGGAGGGCAGGAGUGAGGUAGAUAAGUCAAUGAGCGCGAGCCUGAACCAGCCAAGUGGCGUGAAGAAGGACUCGCGUAUGGGUUGUAUACUGCUUGUACAAGGGAAUAAUAUGAGAUUCGUGGAUUUUAUUGCAGGUACCUGGAGAAUAAGCAUCGGCUAACUACGUG